Elaeis guineensis (African oil palm) is the source of this 1166-nucleotide RNA transcript. It is a transcript of the gene named DNA-directed RNA polymerases II, IV and V subunit 6A, with no coding region annotated. Lineage: Eukaryota; Viridiplantae; Streptophyta; Magnoliopsida; Arecales; Arecaceae. The record is from RefSeq and is a predicted model, not a curated record.
GAAAGUGGGGGUAAUUUGGUCUUGUCGCCAGACCGUGGUGAUCAGGUUCUUCAAAGCAGCGCGCGGCCGGUGGAGCUUCGGUCGGUGGAGAGAGCGAGAGCGAGUGCGAGGUCUCCAAAUUCCCAAUGGCGGACGACGAUUACAACGACAUGGACAUGGGGUAUGAGGAUGAGCCACCAGAGCCUGAGAUUGAGGAAGGGGCAGAGAAGGAGGAUGCAGAUAAUAACAAUGAAGAAAUUCCUGAUACCUUUAUAGGCACAGAAGCUGAGGAAAAGGAGGAGCAAGCACCAGUGGAACGACCUCGGAGAACUUCGAAGUACAUGACCAAGUAUGAGCGUGCAAGAAUCUUGGGUACACGUGCUCUUCAGAUUAGCAUGAAUGCUCCUGUGAUGGUUGAGCUGGAGGGGGAGACUGAUCCACUUGAGGAGAUUACUUUCAUGUUCUAUAUUGACAUGCAACCAGCCAUACCUCAGUGAUCGCAAGCUGACAACCCAGCCUCAGAAGUAGAAUGAUCCCCGUUUAUGGAAUAGUAUAGUGCAAUUUAACAUGGUGUUUGCUUGGUUAGUGAAUGCUCUCUUCUGACCGGAUUGCAAUGAAGGAACUUAGGGAACGAAAGAUUCCUUUCACUAUUCGCCGGUACUUACCUGAUGGAAGCUAUGAAGACUGGGGAGUUGAUGAGCUGAUUGUGGAGGACUCUUGGAAAAGGCAAGUGGGUGGCGACUGAUGGCAAAUACAUAGAUUGUAGUUACUCUAUACAACUUUUGUGGUCUUCAUGCGAGAAACUGCUAGCUUCCUCUAGUUUCCAGUGAUGGUUUCAGUUCUUUGGAUAGAUUGAUGGCAGAUAUAUUGAAGUAGAAGGCUUUAUAGCUAGAAAUAUACUUGCAAUGGUAUAACUAUGGUGGUUUCAGUUCUAUGGAUAGGUUGUCAGCUUGCUCUGGUUUCUAGUCUUGGUAUGGUACUAAAGUUUGGAGGUUUUGCUCAUGGGAUCUAUUCAAGGACCUUUAUGACGUAUUUGUAGUCCACUGUUUAUCUUUAUUUGAAAAUUAACACUGCAUGUGAUCCAACUGGGAACCUCUCCUGAGCUCAGUUGCUACUGGGAGAGGUGCCAACCAGCAAUUGAACUAGGUGGAUUGAAAUGCACUGUAUGCUUGUUUUCUCUGAUUGCA